This is a non-coding RNA of Mycena leptocephala, 97 nucleotides long. The record is from the annotation of a GenBank genome assembly. NCBI's taxonomy places the organism in Eukaryota, Fungi, Basidiomycota, Agaricomycetes, Agaricales, Mycenaceae.
GUCCCUGUGGAUUAAUGAAAAGUCUCCCCAUCUUUAGAUAAACUUGUAAGUUCCUGUAUUAUUUGGGGAAAUGGGUGUUCGAUUCGCCCCAGGGACA